Molecule: non-coding RNA, 21 nt
Filed under: Caenorhabditis elegans
Lineage: Eukaryota; Metazoa; Nematoda; Chromadorea; Rhabditida; Rhabditidae
Source: RNAcentral
UUUAUAGCAAAGAUUAAUUAA